CAAGUUCCCAUCCCGAAGAAUGUCUGUAAAUCGGAUUCAUUCAUAAGUCCAAUAAUACAUCCUGAGCUCUGAUUAAGCACUGUAUUUCUUACACAAUUGCACUGCACCGUAAGCACACAGCAGCACAACUGUGACAAUGUCUGGCAGACACAUGAGCUACUCCUUGAUUUAUUCCCAUCUGCAGAUGUUCCUAAUUCAAGGUGAUGAAUAUGCCAACUACCUUGAAUUGAUCAACAUACAAUACAAACAUGUAUUGAAACAUCAAACUGUACUCCAGAAAUAUAUACAACUUUAAAGUGCCA
This is a long non-coding RNA of Heterocephalus glaber (naked mole-rat), 302 nucleotides long. NCBI's taxonomy places the organism in Eukaryota, Metazoa, Chordata, Mammalia, Rodentia, Bathyergidae. The record is from Ensembl.